This 466-nucleotide ribosomal RNA is filed under the name uncultured bacterium. RNAcentral's name for it is "partial 16S ribosomal RNA". It matches the Rfam family "Bacterial small subunit ribosomal RNA", at positions 28 to 507 of the family's 1533-position model. The record is from RNAcentral.
GAUGAACGCUGGCGGCGUGCUUAACACAUGCAAGUCGAACGGUGAAAGAGAGCUUGCUCUCUGGAUCAGUGGCGAACGGGUGAGUAACACGUGAGCAAUCUGCCCCUGACUCUGGGAUAAGCGCUGGAAACGGCGUCUAAUACCGGAUACGAGCUGCGAAGGCAUCUUCAGCAGCUGGAAAGAACUUCGGUCAGGGAUGAGCUCGCAGCCUAUCAGCUAGUUGGUGAGGUAACGGCUCACCAAGGCGUCGACGGGUAGCCGGCCUGAGAGGGUGACCGGCCACACUGGGACUGAGACACGGCCCAGACUCCUACGGGAGGCAGCAGUGGGGAAUAUUGCACAAUGGGCGAAAGCCUGAUGCAGCAACGCCGCGUGAGGGACGACGGCCUUCGGGUUGUAAACCUCUUUUAGCAGGGAAGAAGCGAAAGUGACGGUACCUGCAGAAAAAGCACCGGCUAACUACGUG